RNAcentral lists this ribosomal RNA (253 nucleotides) under uncultured bacterium. Its description in RNAcentral is "partial 16S ribosomal RNA". It matches the Rfam family "Bacterial small subunit ribosomal RNA", at positions 524 to 776 of the family's 1533-position model. The record is from RNAcentral.
UACGUAGGGGGCAAGCGUUAUCCGGAUUUACUGGGUGUAAAGGGAGCGUAGACGGCGAUGCAAGCCAGAUGUGAAAGCCCGGGGCUCAACCCCGGGACUGCAUUUGGAACUGUAUAGCUAGAGUGUCGGAGAGGCAGGCGGAAUUCCUAGUGUAGCGGUGAAAUGCGUAGAUAUAUGGAAGAACACCAGUGGCGAAAGCGGCUCUCUGGUCUGUAACUGACGCUGAGGUUCGAAAGCGUGGGUAGCAAACAGG